GUGUUUUCUUCUAGAUUCUUUCCACCAUGGCCAGACGCCCCCGGAACAGCAGGGCCUGGCACUUCGUCCUGAGUGCAGCCCGCCGAGACGCAGAUGCCCGGGCCGUGGCUCUAGCAGGCUCCACUAACUGGGGCUACGACUCUGAUGGGCAGCACAGCGACUCGGACUCCGACCCCGAGUACUCCACGCUGCCGCCAUCCAUCCCCAGUGCAGUGCCCGUGACCGGCGAGUCCUUCUGUGACUGUGCUGGGCAGAGCGAGGCCUCCUUCUGUAGCAGCCUGCACUCGGCCCACCGGGGCAAGGACUGCCGCUGUGGAGAGGAAGACGAGUGUGAGCGUGGGGCCCAGCCCCUGCUGGGACUGCACUGCGGGCGGGCCUGGGGGCGGGCAGGGCAGAGCCCCAUGGAGCUCUCAGGGCUGCCCCAGCCUGGGCCUCUCUUGCAGAUUUCGACUGGGUCUGGGAUGACUUGAAUAAGUCAUCAGCCACCCUGCUGAGCUGUGACAACCGUAAGGUCAGCUUCCACAUGGAGUACAGCUGCGGCACAGCGGCCAUCCGGGGCACCAAGGAGCUGGGGGAGGGCCAGCACUUCUGGGAGAUCAAGAUGACCUCUCCCGUCUACGGCACCGACAUGAUGGUGGGCAUCGGGACGUCGGAUGUGGACCUGGACAAAUACCGCCACACGUUCUGCAGCCUGCUGGGCAGGGAUGAGGACAGCUGGGGCCUCUCCUACACGGGUGCGUGAGGCCCAGGGUGGGGCGGGGCCGAGCCUGGAGCUCCCGGGCUCACUGCGACCCUGGCUGCCCCCAGGCCUCCUCCACCACAAGGGCGACAAGACCAGCUUCUCGUCGCGGUUCGGCCAGGGCUCCAUCAUUGGCGUGCACCUGGACACCUGGCAUGGCACGCUCACCUUUUUCAAGAACAGGAAGUGUAUAGGUGUGGCAGCCACCAAGCUGCAGAACAAGAGGUUCUACCCGAUGGUGUGCUCCACGGCGGCCCGGAGCAGCAUGAAGGUCACCCGCUCCUGCGCCAGCGCCACCUCCCUCCAGUACCUGUGCUGCCACCGCCUGCGCCAGCUGCGGCCAGACUCGGGAGACACGCUGGAGGGUCUGCCGCUGCCGCCGGGCCUCAAGCAGGUGCUACACAACAAGCUGGGCUGGGUCCUGAGCAUGAGCUGCAGCCGCCGCAAGGCUCCAGCGUCCGAUCCCCAGGCAGCGACCUCGGCCCACCCCAGCAGUCGCGAGCCUCGGCCCUGCCAGAGGAAGCGCUGCCGCCGGAUCUGACUGACUGCCCCAGUGGAACUGCCUUCUUGGGCUAGGACAGCCCCUUUCCUCCGUCCCUUCUUUCUCUGUCCCUUCCUUCCAGCCACACUCCAGGGCGGAGUUGGAUGAGGCCCGUCCGGAGGGAGCCAUCUCUUGCUCCCGAGGCUGGGACAGUCCUUUCUGGGGGGGCUCUAGGGCUCCUCUGCUGCUGUGCUGGGUGGGGAAGCGGCUGCCCUGAGCCCCAGGUCUUGUGGGAGGCUGCGAGGACGAGAGCCUGGCUGGAGCCCGCGUUGCCGUUCCCACAGGGCCUCGGUUUUUCCUAAC
Molecule: small RNA, 1583 nt
Filed under: Pan troglodytes (chimpanzee)
Lineage: Eukaryota; Metazoa; Chordata; Mammalia; Primates; Hominidae
Description: retained intron
Source: RNAcentral